CCUACGGGGGGCAGCAGUGAGGAAUAUUGGUCAAUGGACGAGAGUCUGAACCAGCCAAGUAGCGUGAAGGAUGACUGCCCUAUGGGUUGUAAACUUCUUUUAUAUGGGAAUAAAAUGUUCCACGUGUGGGAUUUUGUAUGUACCAUAUGAAUAAGGAUCGGCUAACUCCGUGCCAGCAGCCGCGGUAAUAAGGAGGAUCCGAGCGUUAUCCGGAUUUAUUGGGUUUAAAGGGAGCGUAGGUGGAUGGUUAAGUCAGUUGUGAAAGUUUGCGGCUCAACCGUAAAAUUGCAGUUGAAACUGGCAGUCUUGAGUACAGUAGAGGUGAGCGGAAUUCGUGGUGUAGCGGUGAAAUGCUUAGAUAUCACGAAGAACUCCGAUUGCGAAGGCAGUUCACUGGACUGCAACUGACACUGAGGCUCGAAAGUGUGGGUAUCAAACAGGAUUAGAUACCCUUGUAGUC
Molecule: ribosomal RNA, 460 nt
Filed under: uncultured bacterium
Lineage: Bacteria
Description: partial 16S ribosomal RNA
Rfam family: Bacterial small subunit ribosomal RNA
Source: RNAcentral